Molecule: ribosomal RNA, 497 nt
Filed under: uncultured bacterium
Lineage: Bacteria
Description: partial 16S ribosomal RNA
Rfam family: Bacterial small subunit ribosomal RNA
Source: RNAcentral
GAUGAACGCUGGCGGCGUGCCUAAUACAUGCAAGUCGAGCGAACGGACGAGAAGCUUGCUUCUCUGAUGUUAGCGGCGGACGGGUGAGUAACACGUGGAUAACCUACCUAUAAGACUGGGAUAACUUCGGGAAACCGGAGCUAAUACCGGAUAAUAUUUUGAACCGCAUGGUUCAAAAGUGAAAGACGGUCUUGCUGUCACUUAUAGAUGGAUCCGCGCUGCAUUAGCUAGUUGGUAAGGUAACGGCUUACCAAGGCAACGAUGCAUAGCCGACCUGAGAGGGUGAUCGGCCACACUGGAACUGAGACACGGUCCAGACUCCUACGGGAGGCAGCAGUAGGGAAUCUUCCGCAAUGGGCGAAAGCCUGACGGAGCAAAGCCGAGUGAGUGAUGAAGGUCUUCGGAUCGUAAAACUCUGUUAUUAGGGAAGAACAUAUGUGUAAGUAACUGUGCACAUCUUGACGGUACCUAAUCAGAAAGCCACGGCUAACUACGUG